AACGCACAUUGCGCCCCCGGGUAUUCCCGGGGGCAUGCCUGUUCGAGCGUCAUUUCAACCCUCAAGCUCAGCUUGGUCUUGGGCAGCGCCGGCAACGGCCGGCCUUAAAGCUAGUGGCGGCGCCGCCGGGCUCUACGCGUAGUACCUCAUCUCGCGUCUGGGUCCCGGAGGACGCUGGCCAGCAACCCCCAACAUUUACUGGUUGACCUCGGAUCAGGUAGGGAUACCCGCUGAACUUAA
This 240-nucleotide unclassified non-coding RNA is filed under the name uncultured fungus. Its description in RNAcentral is "sequence contains ITS2". The stretch from base 1 to 52 matches the Rfam family "5.8S ribosomal RNA", at positions 103 to 154 of the family's 154-position model. The record is from RNAcentral. Lineage: Eukaryota; Fungi.